RNAcentral lists this long non-coding RNA (4893 nucleotides) under Populus tremula. Its description in RNAcentral is "long non-coding RNA (PTRE_LNC001988)". Lineage: Eukaryota; Viridiplantae; Streptophyta; Magnoliopsida; Malpighiales; Salicaceae. The record is from RNAcentral.
GAAGUUGGAGCCUUCAAGAUGGUUUGUGAUGAAUUUGCAUGAUGUGGAUUGGAAUUUGUAUUUGAACACUCUGUUUUGGAAUUUAAACUAUUGGGACUCAAUAAGUACUCUUGGUGGAGAGGUGGAUAACCCGAAGAAAAAUCUACCUAAAGCUCUCUUUUAUGCUUUGAUCUUGGUUGUUCUUAGCUAUUUCUUCCCCCUUUUGGUUGGCACUGGUGCUAUCCCACUCAACCGUGAUUUGUGGACUGAUGGGUAUUUCUCAGAUAUUGCCAAAAUUCUCGGGGGUGUUUGGUUGAGAUGGUGGAUCCAAGGGGCUGCAGCAAUGUCAAAUAUGGGAAUGUUCGUGGCUGAAAUGAGCAGUGACUCUUUCCAGCUUCUGGGGAUGGCAGAGCGAGGAAUGCUUCCAGAGUUCUUUGCCAAGCGGUCUCGGCAUGGCACGCCUUUGAUUGGGAUUUUAUUUUCUGCAUCUGGUGUUAUUUUGUUAUCAUGGCUAAGCUUUCAGGAGAUCAUAGCUGCAGAGAAUUUUUUAUAUUGCUUUGGAAUGAUAUUGGAAUUUAUAGCAUUUGUAUUGCUAAGGAUAAAAUGUCCUGUUGCUUCACGGCCUUACAAGAUUCCUGUGGGAACAGUUGGAGCCAUUCUUAUGUGUAUUCCUCCAACCAUACUGAUUUGUGUUGUGCUAGCUCUUUCAAUAGUCAAAGUGAUGAUUGUGAGUCUGUUUGCGGUGGCAAUUGGCCUUGUGAUGCAGCCGUGUCUCAAAUACGCCGAGAAAAAGAGGUGGAUGAAGUUCUCUGUCAGUGGUGAACUCCCAGACCUUCAUGAAGGUAAUCAGGAGAGAGUUGAUUUCUUAGAAGACUAGUCAAUAAUAUUUGACACAUGGCAGCUCAAAACCGUCAUGCUGCAGCUCAGAAAGAUAGUCGUGAAACAAGCAAGUGGUAGCUUGUGUCUAUAUAUGCUUCGACUUUUUGAAAUGCUUAGGAAUACAUGCCCUGAUACCUGUUUAUCAUCCUUGUUUUAAAGCAUGGAAGAUGAAAAUGAUAGUUGAAAAAAGCAAGAAGAAGCGAAGUUGGGGAAGGAAAUGGUGCAAAUCAUGUUUCUCAGUAUGUUGUAAAACUGUCUUAGAAAACUAGCAAUAGAGUUUGAAUUUGUUCUACAGCAUCUGUUUGAUUUAGGACUUUUGAUGAUGUUUGAAUGGUUUGGCAAACAGCAUAGGACAAGCAUUCUUGUUCAGGUUCUACAUGUAAAUUGUCUAGUGGUGUAGAGUUCCCCCUGUUUCUAUGUAAGUUUAUGCAUUGCCAUAGUUUUUAUGGUUGAUUUUUAAAAAAAUCUGUUUUAUAAAAAAUAUUUUUAAUUAAGGUUGAUUUGAUAUUUAUAUAUGUGAUUAAAACUGUGGUUGAAAUUAAGGUUGAAUAAAAAAUAAUUUAAUGUGUAUAUAUAUUAGUAUUGAUGGUUUUUAAUUUAAAUAUUGUAGAUUUAAUUACUCUUAUUAUAUCAUGAAAUAAAUAAUAUUUUUUAUAUAUAAAAAAUUUUUUAUUCCAUUAAAUUAUUUAUAAUUUCAUCACGUACGAAAUUCAUCUGUGAGAAUGAUGGGUUUUUUAGUGUAUAAUAAAAUUAAAUAAAAUAUUAUGAAGAAUAAAAUUUGAAUUACAAUCAAAUUUUGUAAGGUUAUGCCUUCAAUUUUUCUAAUUUAUAUAAUAUUAUUAAAUAAUAUUAAAUAUUGGAUUUUUUUUAAUAAAACAUAUUUUAAAAAAAUUAUUUUUUUUAUUGUUUACAUGAACAGUACAAAUAAAUAAAAUCAAUGCAGGUUAACAAAUAUGCAAAGUGCCGACAAAGCAGGUAUAUCUUGCUUUUCCCCGACCUACGUGUCUAUGUGAUUUUAGGCGGGUUCCAUUAACUAAAAACACUGUUUAUCAUUUUAAUCAAACAUCAUAAAAUUAUAGUUUUUUUAAAAUAUAAUUACUGUCGUGUAAACAAACACACUCCUACACGUGUUUCCAAUUAAACUGGUGAGCGUUGAUCUGAAUUGCCUGGAUGACAGGGAAAAACCCAAUUUGGCUUUAUUUUUAAUUUUUAAUUUUGUACACUAUUUUUUCUUUUUUAAAGAAGUAGGUGACACAUUGACUGUGUAGUAAAUAUGACAUGUCAUCUCUGAUCCCAUCUUCUAUCACCGAAGAGAUGGCUUGAAAAACAUACUGGGGUUUUAUGAAAAAAAAAAUCAAUUUUCAAUCAAUUUUUAUUUAUAAAUAUAAAAAACAUUUUUAUAAUCUUAAUAUACUAAUUUUUAACUAUAAAAAAAAUCGAUUCAAAAACACAUAAGAUAUGUUGUCUGUAGCCUAAUUUCGAAGUGGUUGAAAAUUAGAAUUAUGUUUUUUAGAUUCAAAAAUCUAAUUUUAACUUUAUUUUCAUAUAAAAACACAUUAAAAAAUUCUUUAUAACCCUAAUAUAAAAAUUAUCUCACAAAAAAUCAAAAUCAAUUCAAAAAUAUAGAAGACGUUUCGUCAUUAGCCCAAUUUCCUACGAGGUAGUUGGAAAAAUGAAUUAGAGUUUUUUUUUUUAAUAAAAAAAUCUAGUUUUCAAAACUUUUUUUUUAUUUUUAGUUUUUAUGUUUUUAAAAAAUCAUGUUUCAAUUUAUAAAAGAGAGAAAAUAUUGAAAAUAUUGGUGGUUGGCCAUGUUUGGAUAAUAAUUUUUUUUUUGUGAGAGAAUAUCAUUUAGGUAUAAAGAAAUUGAUUUUAAUGUGAAUAAUUUUUUUGUUUUCUCUCUCCCUCCACCGCUCUCUUUACAACUUUCCUUCUUUUGUUUCUCAUCAGUCUUUUUGUUUAUUAUUAUCCACUUGAGAAGGUCGGGAUUCUUUUUUCUUUGUUAUGUUUAGUUUUAUGGAUUUGAUUGGAUAUAUUUCAUGUUAGAAAACCCAUUUUCUGUUUUCUUGAAUGAUGCUCAUUUCGUUGCUCAAUUUUGAAACUUUGUGCUUAUGUUUUGCCAUUAUUUAGCUGCGUUGAUGAGUCAGUUUCGUCUUGAUUUUUAUUUGCUUUGAUUACCUACUUGAUAAAUCAUAGAGAUCCCAACUUUUUUUUAAUGAAGUUAGAACCUUAUGUUAAGUGCAGAAACUGAGGAACACAGCAGCAAAUAAGCAAGAACCUUCUAUUGCAAUGGGAGAAUACAAUGGUGUUGCAUAUGUGGAUAUUAAUGAAGGACCUUCUUCACCUAAAUUGGACAACAUUAAGAAAGUUUCAGUUUUGCACCUCAUUUUUCUCAUCUUCUUUGAGGUUUCCGGUGGACCUUUUGGAGCGGAGGAUAGUGUUCAGGCAGCUGGUCCGCUCCUUUCACUUCUUGGGUUCUUGGUAUUCCCAUUAAUAUGGAGUGUUCCCGAGGCAUUGAUUACAGCCGAGAUGGGUACCAUGUUUCCAGAAAAUGGAGGUUAUGUUGUUUGGGUUUCAACUGCUUUGGGUCCUUACUGUGGUUUCCAGCAAGGAUGGAUGAAGUGGCUGAGCGGGGUGAUUGAUAAUGCCCUGUACCCGGUUCUUUUUCUUGACUAUUUGAAGUCGGGAAUCCCAGCUUUGGGUGGUGGUUUACCAAGAGUUGCAGCUGCUCUGGCUUUGACAUUUCUCCUCACUUACAUGAAUUACAGGGGUUUAGCUAUUGUGGGAUGGGUUGCAGUUAUUCUGGGGAUCAUUUCGAUCCUUCCUUUUGUCGUUAUGGGGCUAGUGGCGAUUCCGAAGUUGGAGCCUUCAAGAUGGUUUGUGAUGAAUUUGCAUGAUGUGGAUUGGAAUUUGUAUUUGAACACUCUGUUUUGGAAUUUAAACUAUUGGGACUCAGUAAGUACUCUUGGUGGAGAGGUGGAUAACCCGAAGAAAAAUCUACCUAAAGCUCUCUUUUAUGCUUUGAUCUUGGUUGUUCUUAGCUAUUUCUUCCCCCUUUUGGUUGGCACUGGUGCUAUCCCACUCAACCGUGAUUUGUGGACUGAUGGGUAUUUCUCAGAUAUUGCCAAAAUUCUCGGGGGUGUUUGGUUGAGAUGGUGGAUCCAAGGGGCUGCAGCAAUGUCAAAUAUGGGAAUGUUCGUGGCUGAAAUGAGCAGUGACUCUUUCCAGCUUCUGGGGAUGGCAGAGCGAGGAAUGCUUCCAGAGUUCUUUGCCAAGCGGUCUCGGCAUGGCACGCCUUUGAUUGGGAUUUUAUUUUCUGCAUCUGGUGUUAUUUUGUUAUCAUGGCUAAGCUUUCAGGAGAUCAUAGCUGCAGAGAAUUUUUUAUAUUGCUUUGGAAUGAUAUUGGAAUUUAUAGCAUUUGUAUUGCUAAGGAUAAAAUGUCCUGUUGCUUCACGGCCUUACAAGAUUCCUGUGGGAACAGUUGGAGCCAUUCUUAUGUGUAUUCCUCCAACCAUACUGAUUUGUGUUUUGCUAUCUCUUUCAACAGUCAAAGUGAUGAUUGUGAGUCUGUUUGCGGGUGGCAAUUGGCCUUGUGAUGCAGCCCUGUCUCAAAUACGCCGAGAAAAAGAGGUGGAUGAAGUUCUCUGUCAGUGGUGAACUCCCAGACCUUCAUGAAUGUAAUAAUCAGGAGAGAGUUGACUUCUUAGAAGACUAGUCAAUAAUAUUUGACACAUGGCAGCUCAAAACCGUCAUGCUGCAGCUCAGAAAGAUAGUCGUGAAACAAGCAAGUGGUAGCUUGUGUCUGUAUAUGCUUCGUGUUUUUGAAAUGCUUAGGAAUACAUGCCCUGAUACCUGUUUAUCAUCCUUGUUUUAAAGCAUGGAAGAUGAAAAUGAUGGUUGAAAAAGGCAAGAAGAAGCGAAGUUGGGGAAGGAAAUGGUGCAAAUCAUGUUUUUCAGAAUGUUGUAAAGCUGUCUUAGAAAAUUAGCAGUAGAGUUUGAAUUUGUUUUACAGCAUCUGUUUGAUUUAGGACUUUCGAU